This 2667-nucleotide long non-coding RNA is filed under the name Zostera marina. Its description in RNAcentral is "long non-coding RNA (ZMAR_LNC000566)". Lineage: Eukaryota; Viridiplantae; Streptophyta; Magnoliopsida; Alismatales; Zosteraceae. The record is from RNAcentral.
AGCAAGAUUUAUAAUUAACUAUCGAUCGGUCGGUCUUAAUUCAAUUCCCACAACGCUUGCGCCCUCCCUAUUUUUCUCAUUUUUCAUUCAAAUUAGAAUGACAACUACGAAUUGAUUAGGUAACCCUUAUAUUAAUUAAAUGUGAUGCUACUAUUAGAAUGGGUGAAAGGAUUGAGGAAAAUAUUAGCUAUCCUCAUUAAAUUCCACUUACCGAUAAUUGAAGAUUUGACUGGAAAAUGAAGUUGAGUUCCAGGACUGGGUUCACUCAUGAACUAUUUCUCCUCAUCCAUGAAAAAUUCCAGGACUGGGUAGUGUCGGAGUCUAAUAAUGACUUUUAACCUAUAAAAUUAAUAUACAAAAUUAAUUAAAAGAUUAAAAAAACAUAUAAAAAAAGAUUAAUUAAAAUUUAAAUAUUACAAGUUAUUAAAUUAUAAAAUAAUUCAAGUUAUAAAAAAAUAUUAAAGUAUUAUUUAUUAUAGUGAUUUGUAUUAAACCCUUUUAAUUUUUAUUUUUAGUUCUCAUUAUUUAUAUACAAUUUAAUAUAAUAAAUUAUAAUAUAUUUAUUAUUUUAUUACCAAUAUAUCCAGGUCCGGGGCCAGUCAGGUUUGUCUGAGAUCGUCUCAUACCUCCAGGUCCAAAAUAAUUAAUGGGGCCAAUUGACCCAUUUACACCCGUAAUAUUGCAUGCAUCAUUAUUCAAAUUAAAAUUAAUAUGUGAUUUAAUUAAGUAAAUCCUUAGAUUUAUCAUUGAAAUUGGUAUAUAUAUUACGAUUACAUAUUUAAAAUAUUAAAGCUAAGAGGGUUUAAAAUAUUAUACGGGGAUUCAUACCGAUCAUACUUAUGGGAGUCCCCCACUUCCAUUUCUAGAGCCUGAUCCAUUACCCGAACCAGAUCGAUGUCCAGACCCACCACCUUCUCCUUUGCCGUAACCACAAUUUCCGUUACCUAAACUAUAACCAGAUCCACUGCUAGAGCCAUAUCUGGAUCCAUUCCAACCUCCAUAUUGUCUACAACCACCUCCACCACCAUGUCUAGAUACCACCUAGAUCUUUCUUGCCCACCGUAACCAGAACUACUUCCAGAUGCAUAACCACUCCCUGAUCCAUAACUCUCAGGUAGUGCUCAACGCUGUAAUUAACGGAAAAUAAUAUCUUGUAUUGAAUGAAAGUAAACUAGUCUACAAGCAUUUAUUUAGUAUUCAUUUAACUUAUAAGUUUGAUUUAUCCUAAUUAACAAAGCCUUAUAUAAUUAUUAAGUAUUACUAUUGACACCGUCUCCCAAUCUUUAUAUGCCUUUAGAUUGAAAACCAUAUAAAAUCCCACUAAUGUAACAUUAUUUGUUGGACCAAGUUAGCAGAAGAACUGACUUGGCCAGAUCAGUUAAAGAAUGUUAAGUACAUAUUUUGUUAGUUAAGUGGUUAGUAAUAACUGACUUAAAUAUCUGCUAAACUAGUAGUUAGUAUAACUAAAUCUGUAGCUAUAAAAGGCACACUAUUGUAAGAACUAUUCAAUGAAUGAAAAUACACGUUUAGUAGAAACUUAUAUUGUAUCAUUCGUUCUCGGCUAAGAUCUUCAAGAAUGAUUAAUGCCGACUCGUUUUCCGCUGCCGCCGGUGCGACGAUUACCGGAAAUGCUGCUGCCACAAGAUUGGUCGCGAAGCAUGUAAAAUGUGUUCAAUUAGAGAAAGACAACUACUUCGUAUGGGAGGCUCAAUUCUCGGCGAUGCUAUGGGGAUUUGAACUCAUGGGAUACGUCGAAGGUGAAAUUGAACUCAACACUCCAUCGACUCGCCAACAAGAUCAGCUUAUCCUAAGUUGGAUCUUGAUAGGGAUUUCGACUUCUAUUCUUCCUUCGGUUGUUGCCUGCAAGACAUCCACGAUGACAUGGAACGCCUUGAAAAGAAUGUACGCCUCCAGCACUUUGGCGAGACAGUUACACCUAAGAUUGCAGCUGCAAACAACGAAGAAGGAAGGCAUGAUGAUGGGAGAUUUUCUUGCUAAGAUUUCAAUCCUAAAAGAUUCGCUAGCUGCAAACAGAGAAGUUUUGAAAGAAAAAAAGGUUAUUUUAAUUGCUUUACAAGGUCUUGGGGAUGAAUAUGAAUCAUUUGUGACAUCUAUUACAACUAGAUACGAUCACUUAAUGACUUUCAUUACAUUGUGUGAAGUCCUGAUCGACUAUGAUCGGCUCGAGGCUAGAAAUUCGACGACCAUGAAUGUUUCAGCAAAAGCAUACAAAUCCGGACGAACAUCAGAUGCAAAUUCGGACGGCGACUCGUCAUUUGAGAAUGUCAGAUGCCAAAUCUGCAACAGGAAAGCUCACUCUGCCCUAAAUUGCUAUCAUCGGUUGAACAUUAUGAAGUACAGACCGACACACACUCGUGAGCUCACGGCUGUUGGACCGAAUGGUGCAUAUCGAUCUGCCCGGAAAGAAAAAUCUGCAACACUCUCCGCAAAUGCAGAUUCUGAUUCUUCAAUGUCUCUUUGGUUUCCCAACACCGGUGCAACUUCUCAUAUAACUCCUACCGCCAAUAAUAUCCAAUCCCCAAGAAUAUUCAAAGGUAAUAAUCAGAUUCUCACGGCUGAUGGUAGUCCGUUAUCUAUUUUGAAUACGGGGGAGAGUAUUGCAAAAGACAACUUCAAAAAUUCUUUCUAAUAAAAAAUUUGUUACAC